Molecule: RNA transcript, 3229 nt
Organism: Labeo rohita (rohu)
Lineage: Eukaryota; Metazoa; Chordata; Actinopteri; Cypriniformes; Cyprinidae
Gene: znf692
Gene name: zinc finger protein 692
Exons: 12
Source: RefSeq, a predicted model, not a curated record
ACUACAUUUCCCAUAGAUCCUAGUUGUGCCGCAAAGACUGCUGGGACAGGAAGCUUCCGAUUUGGUUUCUGUUUGUGCAGUUCGCUUAAAAUGUCAUUCUGGAGCUGAAGACGUACUUCACAUAAUCGUAUUGAGAAGAUGAAUUCAGCCAAUAUUCAUAAUUUUCUGUGCAGCGUCUCUUUCACCUCAAAAUGUAUGUAAUGAUUUUUAUAUCGAGUUGAUCGACUGAGCGGGUCCGCCUUAAAAGGGCAACGGUUUGAGCGAGUGGGCCCCGCAAACACUAUCGCUCAGGGUCUUAUUUAAGUGUCGUUUGAGUGGCACCUGUCAGUGUCAUGUCAUCCUCUAAAGACAAUUUGCGCAGUCAGCGGCGCAGGGAGCUGGAUGCACGCAGGAGCAAGUCUCGCGUGCGGCUGGGCUCUUGUCUGCAGAGCUGGGGUCAGCUCAAAGAGAAACUGGGUUUCUCUCUUCACUCAGAGCUCGCUCAGCAUCUGCUGGAGAGCUAUGUUUCAAGAGUUUGUAUCCAGUGCUCAGGUGAUGGGAAAACAUGCACUCUGUCAACUACCAAGGAGUCCUUACAGGAACUCAUCCUGUUGGUUCACAACCAUGGACAGACGUGCCCUCUUCCCCCUGUCCUGCAUUCUAGGCCUGUCACAAAAACAACUGAGCAAGAUCAGAGCGCUCAUGCUGAAACUGAGUCCAACGACUUAUCUGUGGUGGACAUGUGUCUCAAAUACACCUGUGAAAAUGGACAUCAUUUUUCGUGGACUCCUAAUAAGAUAGAAAAGAUAACAACAUCUAAAACUCAAAGUGACAGAACUGCGUUUACCCCAAAGAGACAAGGCAGGAGGCGGUUGAAGGAGCCAGACACAGAGACAGAAAGACAAGAAGUGGUGACUAGAUUAAAAACCAGACAACAACAGCAACAAGAAAAUGCUGAAGUUACCACAAAUUACACAGAACAGAAACACAAGACAAGGUCUGAAACGUUGAGGGGAAACAAGAAUCCAGGUGUGACUCCUGAGACACAGGAAGGAAAUGAUGUGGCUGUUGACUCUUCACAUUCAGAGCAUGGUUCUCUAGCAAACAGCGAUGAGCUGAUUGGAGAUGGUCCUGCAAGAGUUUGCAUUGAAAACCAAAGCUCCACUGAUAGCAAUGAGGAAGUUGAAGUGCUGAAUUUAACCAACAGAGGGACCCAGAGCAGAGCAGAUCCCUCUGAGACACACAAAGCCAGCAAAAAAGCAGGAACUCUUAAAAAUACCAGUCCACAGUUAUUGAAAGAUGACAUGUCCCAGAUUGGUCACAAGAGAAGACGAAAAUCAACAUCCAAAGUGAUUUUGCCUUGCGAGUUUGAAGGCUGCGAUAAGAUUUUCUCCAGUCGGCAAUAUCUAAAUCAUCACAUUAAGUACCAGCAUCUCCAGCAGAAGACCUUCAUCUGCUCGCAUCCCACCUGCAGCAAGUCAUUCAACUUUAAAAAGCAUCUGAAGGAACAUGAAAAGUUGCACAGCACUGUAAUUCCCACCCCUGUCCAGUUGGUGGCUAGUGCGCUCCAGUGUGGCAGCAGAGCAUGGGAUACCGAACAAAAAUGAAAAUGUCACCUUUGUUUUGCUGUGUGUUUGAUUAUGCACAGGCGAGUACACAGAAACUACAACGAUCUAUCACGCCACGUUAAAGAGCUCCAAAGUGGUAUUUAUUGCUUGAAUUUACUAAGGAAAUUGUCAGAAUGUGAAAUCUGAGACAUUUUCAUAUCAAAAGUAGCACAAAGCCUAGCCUAUUGAUAUUUAUUGGAAGGAAGACGCACUAUGUACUGUCCAUUCAUCAACUGAAAACAGCAUAGACCAAGAGAUCGAUUGUGAUUUAAGAAUCAAUAUCGGUUCAUUAAAAUGAGAAUUUAUUAAAAUUGAGAAUUUUUUUUUUUUUUUUUUUUUUACCCAGCCCUAACUUAUUUUGUUUUUAAUCACUGCGCUGUCGUCCUGUAGGUUCAUGAUUAAAAACGAAAAUGUGAACAAAAAUAAAAGCAAUUAAAUGUGUUAUUCAUAAUUCAUAAUUAAAAUAUGAAAAUUAAAAUGAUGGCUAAUAAUAGAUUAUGGCGGAAUUGUUACGUCCCUGUUCGUCAAAAAGACUGACAAUGUUGAAGUCUAGCGCAACCUCUGGUCAGAAGUAAUCUAAAAGUAUGAAAAUAUGUAAAAGUAUUACCUAAAAUGUGUAAUGUAAUGGAUUACAUUACUAACUAUAAUUUUAUCAUGUAAUUUGGAAUCAGUAACAGAUUACAAUUUGUAAGUAAUUUACCCAGCUCUGUAAAUGAUGUAUAAUUGUUAUAAUUAUCAUAAAGUGUACUUAUAGACAGCCACUAAUAUGUAUGAGAAUAUGUAUACAUUGAUAGGUAUUUCAAGUUUACUAGUCUAUUCAGGUAAAAAAAAAAAAAAAGUAUAUGGUAAUUAAGUUAUUCUAAUUUAGUGGUUGUUGGUUUGUGGUUUACGGGCUGGUUUUGCAGGUAAAUAACAAUUGGUUUAUUAACUUUUAAAAGGGAGAAGAAAACACUUCCCAUAUAAUCAAACUCUACUGUAUUUUGACACAAAUUCAUCUAUAUUUCAUUCAGUUAAUUUGGUAAAAGAUUAAAGAGAUGCCAAAAUGGACAAGGUGAAAAAAAAUGGGUCCUACUUUUUAUUAGGUGUCUUUAACUACUGCUGUAUGCAUUUUGAUGAUUUUUUUUUUUUACAGUGUUUUUCAACAUUUUUACUGCUAUUAAGGUGGAAUAUAGGUAAAAGUGUAUUUGGAUGCAAAUACAGAAAUUAAUUGUACAGCUGAAGUCAAAAGUUUACAUACACCUUGCAGAAUCUGCAAAAUGUUAAUUUUACCAAAAUAAGUGGGGUUAUACAAAAUGCAUGUUAUUUUUUGUUUAGUACUGACUUGAAUAGUUUCAAGUAUUUUUACAUAGUCCACAAGAGAAAAUAAUAGCUGAAUUUAUGAAAAACACACAAAAAAAAAACACUGAACAAGUACAUUAAAUAGUAGGGAUUCGUGUUUUUCAUGCUGUGGUUAGUAAUGUGUUUCUCUCUGUAUGAUUCUUUGUGUGUGUGAGAUCAGAGAGACUAUAUCUGUGAGUUCUGUGCCCGGGCGUUCCGAACCAGCAGUAACCUGAGCAUCCACCGCAGGAUACACACCGGAGAGAAACCGCUGCAGUGUGAGGUGUGUGGCUUUACCUGUCGACAGAAGGCCUCUCUGAAUUGGC